Molecule: long non-coding RNA, 622 nt
Organism: Leptonychotes weddellii (Weddell seal)
Lineage: Eukaryota; Metazoa; Chordata; Mammalia; Carnivora; Phocidae
Source: RefSeq, a predicted model, not a curated record
AGGUCCCUGAAGGCCAACUGCUCUCCCAAGGCAUUCCUUCCAGGCAAAUGGAGAGACACAGCUCCAGUAAAGAAGUCCGUUUUGGACAAGAUCGAUCCAUAGGUGGACCGGAGAGCGGCACUCCUUGGGCAUCUGUGGUUACAUUUCAGGCCUGAAGGCCUCUGGGCACACUGUUUCACAACCAUGUCUGGGGAUGCAAACUCGGCGCAGUCGGGCGGGCUUACCUCAAAGCUUGUCCACGCUACUUCCGUAGCCCCCCUCUCCGGAAGUUAGGGGACUGUUCUGGAAAAGUCUGGGAGACAUUGGGCUCCACACAGACUAAUCUCUGCGAGCCUCAGGAUCCUCAUCCAUCAAAUGGAGCAGCUCACACCUGGCCUCCACUUGCUCCCUCCAGCGUGCCCAGAUGUGAUUACCCACCUGGGCAGCAGCCGCUUCCCAGUUGUCCCCACAAGGGCCAUUUUCUCCCCAGUACAAGACGAAUGAGCUUCUGCUGUCGCGUCAGGGAGCCGCUGCAUCACCGAAAGGACCUUCGCCCUUCAGUUUCGUCCGCGUGGAAGAGACCGGUGCCUGCUAGGUGGUCACGGGAGCAUCGCGCGGAGUCCUGCGAGUGCUGUGAGUGUGG